This 3844-nucleotide long non-coding RNA is filed under the name Salmo salar (Atlantic salmon). RNAcentral's name for it is "lncRNA (ENSSSAG00000120656.1)". Lineage: Eukaryota; Metazoa; Chordata; Actinopteri; Salmoniformes; Salmonidae. The record is from RNAcentral.
GUUGGGGUCAAUUCCAUUCCAUUUUAGUCAUGUUCAGGAAGUAAACAAAAAUAUUUUCCUUCAUGAAAAGCAUUAAGGGUAAUUGACCUCAAACCUGGACAUCUGUUCAUAUUCCUCUGAGAUUUAUACCAUUACAUUUAGACGUAGUUCAGUAUAUACAGUAGUUAGAUGUGAUCCCGUUCUAGUAGAAUAGACCUGAUGUGGUUUAUUACAGAUCAGAUAUUCAGUAAGACUGACGUUAAUAUACAGUAGUUAGCUGUGGGAGAGAUGCUGCCCGGAAGUUACUCCAGCUUGGGCUGGACACCCUCAGUGUGGCAGACUAUGCGGUGGAGUUCCGCACACUAGAAGCAGAGGGUACCUGGAACACAGAAGCGCUGUUCGACAUGUUCCUGCACGGAUUAUCAGAGGAGGUAAAGGAUGAGCUGGCAGCCCGAGAACGACCGACUGAUCUCAACUCACUCAUCGCUUUAACCAUCCGGAUCGAUGGUCGGCUACGGGAAAAUAGGAGGGAGAAGAGAUCCGAUUGCAGUCCCAAUCACUCAGGGAGCCCACCUUGCAUCUGAUGAACUCCGGAAAUCCCCUGCGUCUACGUCCCCGAGAGGAUCCGAGCUUACUCGAGUCCCUCCAAGAGCAUCCAGAGACUGCUGAUUCACCUCUUCCCGAGCCGAUGCAGCUCGGCAGGGCUGGGCUGUCUCCAGCCAAACACGUACGCAGACUUGAGACCCAGAGUCGCCUGUAUUGCGGUACUGCCGGUCAUUAUGUGUCUACCCUUCCCUUCAGGAAACCUAGCUCAUUCGUUGGCGUGAGUACUCUGGUGGGUCUUAAAGAUAAUUUUUUAUCUCCCCUUACUCGCCCCCCUUCUCCAUGCCAUUCUGUGCUGGGGCAACAAGUCCAAGUCUCUCCAGGUACUCAUCGACUCGGGGGCCGAUGUGAGUCUCAUGGAUGUUACCCUGGCGUCUGAGUUGGGUAUCCCCACUCAACCUCUCUCCAUUCCCAUGGGUGUUUAAGCGCUGGACGGGCGCUCUAUAGGCCGGGUCACCCACCAGACCACCCCUGUCCAACCUACGAGUGUCGGGGAACCACAGCGUGAUGAUCUAAUUCCUGCUGGUUGAGUCUCCACAGGUUCCCGUGGCAUUGGGAUUAUCUUGGCUCCAGCAAUACAAUCCCUCCAUUGACUGGGCUACUGGUGCCAUCGUGGGCUGGAGCCCGUCCUGCCACACUCAUUGCCUGAAGUCAGCUCUGCCUGCCCCGGGACGUCUUCCCGGGGGCUUGGAAAUUGCCCCGUACCUCUCUACCAGCUCCGCAGAGUACCAGGACUUCCGGGAUGGGUUCAGUAAGGCCCGGGCCACUUUGCUUCCACAGCACCGACUGGUAUCCAAGAAGGUCAGGCCUGAGGCGCUGGCACACCGCUAUAGUGCCGCGGCUACAACCCCGGAAACUGAGACCUUUUCCCCCCGCUCCAAGAUCAUUAGCCCCUCUGCUGUUUGUCCUCUGUUGCCCCAUGCCCUCCGUAUUGUUCCUACCUUUUCUGUGUCUAGAGUUAAAGCCAUGUCUGACUGCCCCUUCUCUCCUGUUUCCAGGCCCACCCCUCUCCCCCGUCUCAUUAACGGCCGACCGGCGUACAUGGUGAGAUGUCUCCUGAAGGUUCGAACUCGGGGCAGGGGAUUCCAGUACCUGGUUGACUGGGAGGGUUAUGGCCCGGAGGAGAGGUGCUGGGUCUCCGCUUGGGAUAUCCUGGACCCAGGACUCAUCUCUGAGUUCCAGCGCCGGCACCCCGCUCAACCAGGUAUGUGCCCAGGUAGGACGCCAGGUGCUGGGACCCCUGCCUGUCCUGACUCCGAGUCCGCCUGCCUGACCACUCUGCCUGCCCCUGACCCUGCAUGCCUGCCGUCCUGUACCUUUGCCCCCUACUCUGGAUUACCGACCUCUAUCUGACUGUCACGUCCUGACCAUAGUAAGAUGUUAUUUUUGAUGGUAGAGUUGGUCAGGGCGUGACAGGGGGUGUUUUGUGUUUUUCUAUGUUUUCUAUUUCUAUGUUCUUACUGUGGGGAGCGAGUGACAGGGCAAGCACCGUGUUAUGCGGUGAUGCGCACUGUGUCGUCAGGGCGCACUCACAGGCCGGUGCGAUCGCCCGUGCCUUGCAGUCGUCAAGCUGGGUUGAGCAUCCAGCAAAGACGGGUUGUGCCAGCCAUAAGCUCCAGACCUUCAGUGCACCUCCACGGCCCAGUAUACCCUCCGCACUCGCCCUGAGGUGCGUGUCAGCAGCCCGGUGCCACCUGUACCGGUCCCACGCAUCAGGCCUCCAGUGCGCCUCCACAGCCCAAUACGUCCUGUGCCUCCUCCCCGCACUCAACUUGAGGUGUGUGUUACCAGUCUGGCGCCACCUAUGCCAGUCCCAUACAUCAGACCUCCAGUGCGCAUGCGCAUCCCCAGUCAGGAACCUCCAGCGACUGCCUGCAGCCCGGAACCUCCAGCGACGGCAUGCAGCCCGGAACCUCCAGCGACGGCAUGCAGCCCGGAACCUCCAGCGGCGGCCUGCAGCCCAGAACCUCCAGCAAUGAUCUACAGCCCAGUUCUUUCGACGACAAUCCACGGUCCGGUGGUAAUAAAGCAGAAGGAUCAGCGGGUGGAGCGGGGAUUACGCCCCGAACCGGAGCCGCCUCCUCUGCUGGAGGUAAAGGUUAUGUGGACUGCAUUUGAGCCACCAUAAACAGGAGUUGCCCACCCUACCCUCCCUUUUUGUUUUUGUUUGUUUUUGUUUAAGUUGCAUUCGGAGUCUGCAACUUUGGGGGGGGGGGGGUACUGUCACGUCCUGACCAUAGUAAGAUGUUAUUUUCUAUGGUAGAGUAGGUCAGGGCAUGACAGGGGGUGUUUUGUGUUUUUCUAUGUUUUCUAUUUCUAUGUUCUUAGGUUCUACUUUUUGUAUUUCUAUGUUGGCUUGUUUCGGAUGAUCUCCAAUUGGAGGCAGCUGGUCCUCAUUGUCUCUAAUUGGAGAUCAUAUUUAAGUAGGGGUUUUUCUUCCUGGGUUUUGUGGGUGAUUAUAUUUUGAGUAGUGUUUGUUUCUCUCUGCGUCACGGUUUGUUGUUUUAUCAUAUUCAGUUAUUUGAGUAUUGCAAAGUUUCACGGAUUUAAUAAAAUGUGGAACUACAACCACGCUGCACUUUGGUCCGCUCCUUUCGACAGCCGUGACACUGACCUGACCCUGGGCCUGCCUGCCGUCCUGUACCUUGGCCCCACUACUCUGGAUUAUUGGCCCCUGCCUGCCUUGACCUGUUGUUUGCCUUCCCCUGUUGGUACAAUAAACAUUGUUACUUCAACACAGUCUGCACAUGGGUCUUACCUGAAACCUUAUAGCUACAGUUUUUUUAUUUUUUAUUUUUUUACCUAGCUUUUGUAAACAGGUAUUUCGUUUUGAACGGUUUGUGCUAGAGACUGCAUUUUAAAGGUCCAACCACUGACACCAUGCUUCGUUUGUUUCUAUGGCAGAGGCUGUGAUAUAGCUAAAUCCCAGAGCCAUGUAUUAAGAAAUAAAUUACUCUGGCUAAGCCUAAUCAGACUUGCCUAUACGAAUGGUUUUCACAGUAGUUCACAGACAAAGUCAAAUGAAAAAAAUGUUUGUGAAGGGCGCCACUCGAAUGAUACAAAUGUAACAACAAAUCCAUAACACUGGACUUGUCAGAACACCACAGAUGUAACCAUGUGACAUGUUUACUAUUUUAUCUGACCGUCACUAGUCCUCCAGAGUCAACAGUCCAAUGUGCAUUCCAACAGGUCACGUUUAUCAGCGACGUUUAUCCCUCAAGGAAACCACUGCCCAAGAAACCGACUCUAGGUUGAAGAGAAA